This 400-nucleotide ribosomal RNA is filed under the name uncultured bacterium. RNAcentral describes it as "bacterial SSU rRNA". It matches the Rfam family "Bacterial small subunit ribosomal RNA", at positions 359 to 776 of the family's 1533-position model. The record is from RNAcentral.
GAAUCUUAGACAAUGGGGGAAACCCUGAUCUAGCCAUGCCGCGUGAGUGACGAAGGCCUUAGGGUCGUAAAGCUCUUUCGCCAGGGAUGAUAAUGACAGUACCUGGUAAAGAAAACCCGGCUAACUCCGUGCCAGCAGCCGCGGUAAUACGGAGGGGGUUAGCGUUGUUCGGAAUUACUGGGCGUAAAGCGCACGUAGGUGGACCAUUAAGUCAGGGGUGAAAUCCCGGGGCUCAACCCCGGAACUGCCUCUGAUACUGGCGGUCUUGAGUUCGAGAGAGGUGAGUGGAAUUCCAAGUGUAGAGGUGAAAUUCGUAGAUAUUUGGAGGAACACCAGUGGCGAAGGCGGCUCACUGGCUCGAUACUGACGCUGAGGUGCGAAAGUGUGGGGAGCAAACAGG